This 433-nucleotide ribosomal RNA is filed under the name uncultured bacterium. RNAcentral describes it as "partial 16S ribosomal RNA". It matches the Rfam family "Bacterial small subunit ribosomal RNA", at positions 28 to 507 of the family's 1533-position model. The record is from RNAcentral.
GACGAACGCUGGCGGCAUGCCUAACACAUGCAAGUCGAACGACACCAUCGGGUUUGGUUGCUCAGGGGUGCGUCACCCGUGGGAACCUGCCCUUAGGCUUAGCCUAACUCCCCGCUAGGGGUGCUAAUACCUCUUAAUGUCUUCGUACCACAGAUUUAUAGCCUUUGGAUGGGUGGGCGCGGGAUUAGCUAGAUGGUAGUGUAAAAGCCGACCAAGGCGACGUUCCAUAGCUGGUCUGAGAGGAUGGUCAGCGACACUGGGACUGAGACACGGCCCAGACUCCUACAGGAGGCAGCAGUGGGGAAUAUUGGACAAUGGACGAAAGUCUGAGACAGCAAUGCUGCGGGAGUGAUGAAGGUCUUAGGGUUGUAAAGCUCUUUUAACCGAGAUGAUAAUGACAGUACCGGGUGAAUAAGCACCGGCUAACUCCGUG